Molecule: ribosomal RNA, 298 nt
Filed under: uncultured Sphingomonadaceae bacterium
Lineage: Bacteria; Pseudomonadati; Pseudomonadota; Alphaproteobacteria; Sphingomonadales; Sphingomonadaceae
Description: partial 16S ribosomal RNA
Rfam family: Bacterial small subunit ribosomal RNA
Source: RNAcentral
UAACGCGUGGGAAUCUGCCCUCAGGUUCGGAAUAACAGUUAGAAAUGACUGCUAAUACCGGAUGAUGACUUCGGUCCAAAGAUUUAUCGGCAAGGGAUGAGCCCGCGUAGGAUUAGGUAGUUGGUGGGGUAAAGGCCUACCAAGCCGACGAUCCUUAGCUGGUCUGAGAGGAUGAUCAGCCACACUGGGACUGAGACACGGCCCAGACUCCUACGGGAGGCAGCAGUGGGGAAUAUUGGACAAUGGGCGAAAGCCUGAUCCAGCAAUGCCGCGUGAGUGAUGAAGGCCUUAGGGUUGU